Cygnus atratus (black swan) is the source of this 1084-nucleotide long non-coding RNA. RefSeq lists it as uncharacterized. The transcript has 2 exons. The record is from RefSeq and is a predicted model, not a curated record. Lineage: Eukaryota; Metazoa; Chordata; Aves; Anseriformes; Anatidae.
UGCCUGCCUCGGUGGCACCGCACCCUGCGGAUGCCGGGGCUGGUGGAGCUGAUCCGGGCCAGUUCGAGGGCUGUUGUGGCCACCAUGCCCGAUGCCAGCUCAGCGGGCAAAGGGCUGGCAAAGCCUUUGGGGACGUGGCUGGGGGGAAGCCGGGGGCUCCCUCUGCUGUGGGUGCCAACCUCCAGGGCUGGGUGCCAGUGCCCGGGGGUGGGCGAAUCCCCGGGGGAUGGAGCAGGCUCGUUCGGGACGGGGCUGGCUCCGCGGGGACGGGGCGCAGCACAAGGGCUGAGCCCCCCAGAGGAUGCGGCGAGCCCCGGGGAUUUGGGGCGGGCACCGGGCAUGGCUGGGGGGGGCCCGGCCGGGGCCGCUCCCGGUGAGGCUGAGCUGCAUUGCCCGGGCAAGUCCCCGCUCCGCCGGCACCGGCACCGGCACCGGCACCGGUACCGGCACCGUCCCGUCCCGACGGCCCCUCCCUGCCCUCACCUCUGCGGCCGGAUCGCCGCAGGCUCCGUCGGAAGAAGUUGCCGAUGGAUGAUGCCAUGGUGGCCCCGGUGCGCCCCCGGUGCGCCCCCGGUGCGGCGCGGCACGGCUCGGCUCGGCACGAGGAAAAUCCCUCCUUUCCUGGAAACCGGAGCGACUCUGGAAGAAUGGCUGCUGCCUUCAGCCAGAAGAAAUCCCCGAAUUCUUUUUUUUUUUUUUUUUUCCAUAUGCACAAAUAUUUUCUGCUUGCUUCCUCUAAGCCAAGCUUCUGACUACGAUCCUGUGCUUCGGUAACGCCUUGACUCUGCUCAGAUGCCUUCUGUGCGCAGAAGAAAAGAGCCGUGUUCCCAGCCACAAACCUCCCCGCUCCCGAGGAAACACUGUCCCUUUGUGCCCCUGGCACAAUCCAGCAAACCUUGCGCUGCUGAAAGAGGUUGAACUUUGAAUAUUCCCACUGAAAGCUCUUUUCUGCAGGAACCCAGCCACCCACCGUGACAACAAACGGGCACAUUGUGGGAUCUGGGGGGCUUCUGGCCACUGCGGAUGCAAAGCUCGCCAUUGCACUGCUCCAUUGCCGCUGCCAAAAUCAUUUCGCUUCACCAAA